GAUGAACGCUGGCGGCGUGCUUAACACAUGCAAGUCGAACGGUGAAGGUGGGAGCUUGCUCCUGCUGGAUCAGUGGCGAACGGGUGAGUAACACGUGAGUAACCUGCCCCGGACUCUGGGAUAAGCGUUGGAAACGACGUCUAAUACCGGAUACGAGACGAGAAGGCAUCUUCAUCGUCUGGAAAGAUUUUUUGGUCUGGGAUGGACUCGCGGCCUAUCAGGUUGUUGGUGGGGUAAUGGCUCACCAAGCCUACGACGGGUAGCCGGCCUGAGAGGGGGACCGGCCACACUGGGACUGAGACACGGCCCAGAGUCCUACGGGAGGCAGCAGUGGGGAAUAUUGCACAAUGGGCGAAAGCCUGAUGCAGCAACGCCGCGUGAGGGACGACGGCCUUCGGGUUGUAAACCUCUUUUAGUAGGGAAGAAGCGAAAGUGACGGUACCUGCAGAAAAAGCACCGGCUAACUACGUGCCAGCAGCCGCCGCAG
RNAcentral lists this ribosomal RNA (487 nucleotides) under uncultured bacterium. RNAcentral's name for it is "partial 16S ribosomal RNA". It matches the Rfam family "Bacterial small subunit ribosomal RNA", at positions 28 to 523 of the family's 1533-position model. The record is from RNAcentral.